CAGGUAGGACUACCCGCUGAACUUAAAGCAUAUCAAUAAA
This 40-nucleotide ribosomal RNA is filed under the name Rhizopogon roseolus. RNAcentral describes it as "partial 18S ribosomal RNA". Lineage: Eukaryota; Fungi; Basidiomycota; Agaricomycetes; Boletales; Rhizopogonaceae. The record is from RNAcentral.